ACUGUCCUUGCAUCCACUUAAAACAAAUAAGCAUGACAGGAUUUGGUCCACAUAUCGGCUAUAAAACCUUUUGCAACACCUGAAAUCCUGCUGCUGCUGCCACAUUGAAAUUUUACCUAUAGGCAAAUAGUCAACACUUUUUUACUCUGAGGCUAUUUCCCACAGACACUGAAAACUGCAGUUAUUAAGCAGCUCUUAAAAAGAUCAUGUAGACAACGAAUGAUGAACAAUAUAUAAUGAAUAAUGAGCAAUAACAGGCACAUAUCGAACCUCCCAUUUUUAAAUGAAACCAUUGAAAAGGCUGUUUUUCAACAGUUUAACACUAUUGGUCCUAAACAAUUGUUUUGAUGGUUUCCAGUCAGGAUUUUGACCACAGCACAGCACAGAGACUGCUCUUGUUAAGGUCUUGAAUGACAUCCACUUAAACACAUAGCGGAAAAGUUUCAGUAUUAUUAGAUUUCAGUGCUGCAUUCGACAUGGUCUACCACAAUAUAUUACUAGACAGACUGGAGAACUGGGAUGGACUUUCUGGCGCUGUGCUAAACUGGUGGCCCCUGAGAACGAAACAACACACUGGGAAUUAAGAAAAUUAGUGAUGUCAACGAUUAAAAUACUUAAUCGCGAUUAAUCGCAUGAUUGUCUAUAGUUAAUCAUGAUUAAUUGCAAAUUA
Molecule: long non-coding RNA, 670 nt
Organism: Sebastes umbrosus (honeycomb rockfish)
Lineage: Eukaryota; Metazoa; Chordata; Actinopteri; Perciformes; Sebastidae
Exons: 2
Source: RefSeq, a predicted model, not a curated record